AUACGGAGGGUGCAAGCGUUGUCCGGAUUUAUUGGGUUUAAAGGGUGCGUAGGUGGCGUGUUAAGUCAGUGGUGAAAGCCUGCAGCUCAACUGUAGAGGUGCCAUUGAUACUGACAUGCUUGAGUAUGGACGAGGUAGGCGGAAUUCGUGGUGUAGCGGUGAAAUGCAUAGAUACCACGAAGAACACCGAUAGCGAAGGCAGCUUACUAGACCAUAACUGACACUAAGGCACGAAAGUGUGGGUAGCGAACAGAAUUAGAAACCCCAGUAGUCC
Molecule: ribosomal RNA, 274 nt
Filed under: uncultured bacterium
Lineage: Bacteria
Description: partial 16S ribosomal RNA
Rfam family: Bacterial small subunit ribosomal RNA
Source: RNAcentral